Molecule: transfer RNA, 77 nt
Filed under: Nephromyces sp. ex Molgula occidentalis
Lineage: Eukaryota; Apicomplexa; Aconoidasida; Nephromycida
Description: tRNA-Cys
Rfam family: tRNA
About the family: Transfer RNA (tRNA) molecules are approximately 80 nucleotides in length. Their secondary structure includes four short double-helical elements and three loops (D, anti-codon, and T loops). Further hydrogen bonds mediate the characteristic L-shaped molecular structure. tRNAs have two regions of fundamental functional importance: the anti-codon, which is responsible for specific mRNA codon recognition, and the 3' end, to which the tRNAs corresponding amino acid is attached (by aminoacyl-tRNA synthetases). tRNAs cope with the degeneracy of the genetic code in two manners: having more than one tRNA (with a specific anti-codon) for a particular amino acid; and 'wobble' base-pairing, i.e. permitting non-standard base-pairing at the 3rd anti-codon position.
Source: RNAcentral
GAUGGUAUAGCCAAGCUAGGUUUUUAAGGCAAAGAACUGCAAAUUCUUGAUCCUCAGUUCAAUUCUGAGUACCAUCU